AUCUCUGAAUUUCCUAUUUUUGUUUUGAAAUUUGAUUUUAACUAUUGUUUUUUUCUGGUUGUGUCUGUAUUUUUUCCACCCCCACAGGCGCCGAGCUGCGCUGUUUUCUUUCUUUCUUUUUGAUUUUUUUCUUUUUCUUUUUCUUUUCUCGAAACUCUGAAGCCAGACUGUCUUCUUCACCGCUCCCGGGCUGCACCACUGUGGGCACAUCAAGCUUCGUCUGGCUCACCUGCAUGGUUCCGGCUGAUUCCUGCCUGUGAUGGCCCAUCGUACAACUAGGAUCCCAGAAUCUCCUGUCUGCACUCUGCGGAAGAAGGACCUAUUUCAGUCUCUGGCCAGGGUCUCUCACAGCCGAUGGGGUCUUGGAAGACAGGGUGAAGUUGCAGAAGACUGGGGUGGGAUGCUAGAGGCAUGCGAAGGACUUGGAAAGGGAAUUUAGGAAUACUAUACAUCAGUGCCCACCGAUGAUAUGCAUACAGGGCGAGGGCAGCCGCCGCCCCUGCCUCACGCACCUAACCCCGGCUGCUCUCUGGGAUUGUCUGAGGGGGACAACCCAGGUCUGGAUGUGGUGGCAUUUUUUCAGAGAGUGGAACUGAAGAUGGAUGAAGCAGCCCAUUCAAAUGAGGAAGAGCAAACAGUUUUGUACCAGUGUGACUUCUCUUGACCUGUUCUCCACCGCAGAAGGAUUUGGGGCUGGAGGUUGGUGGUCCUGGUGAGUACUCACUGAGGCAAACAGGGCCCACUGUGUUUCCAGAUAUCCCUUUGGAAUUACUCUCAAGCACCUGCAGAGAAAGAAUGGUAGGGGUGGUAGAGCCCUGUCCUUUCACAGGUUGCUUAUUUUAAAAUCAGUAUUUGACAAUACGAGCUUGAGUUGCUGUAUUAUAUACCUAAUCCAUAAAAGUAGAACCAACUCUAAUCACUUAAAUCUUGGCCACAACACUAUAAGACCCUUAAAAAGUUAGUAUUUUCCUAGGUGUCAUAGCUGAGUAGGUGUUGCAGUAAUCAAUCAAAUACUCAAAUUGAUCUCGGUGGUGACGUUCCUCGACACCCGCCCCAGUAUUCUGGGUUCCCGAAUGAAAGACACACACACACACACACACACACAC
This 1106-nucleotide long non-coding RNA is filed under the name Mus spicilegus (steppe mouse). Its description in RNAcentral is "lncRNA (ENSMSIG00000023323.1)". Lineage: Eukaryota; Metazoa; Chordata; Mammalia; Rodentia; Muridae. The record is from RNAcentral.